GACGAACGCUGGCGGCGUGCUUAACACAUGCAAGUCGAACGGAAAGGCCCUGCUUUUGUGGGGUGCUCGAGUGGCGAACGGGUGAGUAACACGUGAGUAACCUGCCCUUGACUUUGGGAUAACUUCAGGAAACUGGGGCUAAUACCGGAUUGGAGCUCCUGCGGCAUGGUGGGGGUUGGAAAGUUUCGGCGGUUGGGGAUGGACUCGCGGCUUAUCAGCUUGUUGGUGGGGUAGUGGCUUACCAAGGCUUUGACGGGUAGCCGGCCUGAGAGGGUGACCGGCCACAUUGGGACUGAGAUACGGCCCAGACUCCUACGGGAGGCAGCAGUGGGGAAUAUUGCACAAUGGGCGGAAGCCUGAUGCAGCAACGCCGCGUGCGGGAUGACGGCCUUCGGGUUGUAAACCGCUUUCGCCUGUGACGAAGCGUGAGUGACGGUAAUGGGUAAAGAAGCACCGGCUAACUACGUG
Molecule: ribosomal RNA, 468 nt
Filed under: uncultured bacterium
Lineage: Bacteria
Description: partial 16S ribosomal RNA
Rfam family: Bacterial small subunit ribosomal RNA
Source: RNAcentral